UACGGAGGGUGCAAGCGUUAUCCGGAUUCACUGGGUUUAAAGGGUGCGUAGGUGGGAAGGUAAGUCAGUGGUGAAAUCCCCGAGCUUAACUUGGGAACUGCCAUUGAUACUAUCUUUCUUGAAUACCUUGGAGGUGAGCGGAAUAUGUCAUGUAGCGGUGAAAUGCUUAGAUAUGACAUAGAACACCAAUUGCGAAGGCAGCUCACUACACGGUCAUUGACACUGAGACACGAAAGCGUGGGUAGCAAACAGG
RNAcentral lists this ribosomal RNA (253 nucleotides) under uncultured bacterium. RNAcentral describes it as "partial 16S ribosomal RNA". It matches the Rfam family "Bacterial small subunit ribosomal RNA", at positions 524 to 776 of the family's 1533-position model. The record is from RNAcentral.